Beta vulgaris subsp. vulgaris (sugar beet) is the source of this 119-nucleotide non-coding RNA. The record is from Rfam. Lineage: Eukaryota; Viridiplantae; Streptophyta; Magnoliopsida; Caryophyllales; Amaranthaceae.
AGGUGCGAUCAUACCAGCACUAUAGCACCAGAUCCCAUCUAAACUCCGCAGUUCAGCGUGCUUGGGCGAGAGUAGUUCUAGGAUGGGUGACCUUGUGGGUAGUAUUCGUGUUCCACCCC